Lemur catta (Ring-tailed lemur) is the source of this 161-nucleotide long non-coding RNA. RefSeq lists it as uncharacterized. The transcript is spliced from 3 exons. The record is from RefSeq and is a predicted model, not a curated record. NCBI's taxonomy places the organism in Eukaryota, Metazoa, Chordata, Mammalia, Primates, Lemuridae.
CUCGUUCUCCAGACAGUGCGCCUGGCACUCACCAUGUAGUCAUACCUCCUCUUGAAUUGUUAUUUAAACACUGUGACCUGCAUGACAGCAGCAACCUUCUCUUUUCUGUUCACCAUGGUAUCCUGAGGACAUGCCUGACAGAUGAAGGUGACCAAGAAGAC